AAACUAGGAUUAGAUACCCUUUUAUUUAUUAUUUAAAAUUUUUUACUUGAUAAAUAUUUUUUAAUAAAAAAAUUAAUUAAAAUGGCAGUAUAUUAUAAAAUUAGAGGAUUUUGUUAUAUAAUAGAUAUUACACUUUAAAAUUUAUUUAAUUUUUGUUAUAUAUUGUAUAUUGUUGUAUUAAACUAAUAUUUUUAAAAAAUUAUUAGUAUUUUUUUUUAAAAAAUUAAAUUCAAAUCAACAUACAUAUUAUAAUUAAAAUUUAAAUGAAAUACAAUUAAAUCUAUUAAUGAAUAAUAAAUUGUAAGAUUUAUUUAAAAUUGGAUUUAAUAGUAAAAAUUUAAUAAAUAUUUUAUUUGAAUUAAAUUAAUAUAUGUACAUAUUGCCCGUCGUUUUUAAUU
RNAcentral lists this ribosomal RNA (398 nucleotides) under Mayetiola destructor (Hessian fly). RNAcentral's name for it is "partial 12S ribosomal RNA". The record is from RNAcentral. Lineage: Eukaryota; Metazoa; Arthropoda; Insecta; Diptera; Cecidomyiidae.